UGGCACUAUAGGGGCGACCUCCUCUGCCCCUCUUUCCCGGGCGCCCCCGGGGACCGUGCGCUCAGCGGGUGGGAGGUCGAAGGAGGCGGUGACUGGGAGCCCGGGGGUGGGGGCGGGGACCCGCGGGCAGCUCCUAGCGCGCCCCCUCCCGGGCUCCGGGAGGUUCCUGGGCUCCGGAGCGCUCCCUGCGGCUCCUGCGGUCCGGACCCGGCCGGGGCCUGCUGGGUCCCAAUUCCCCUUUUUAUCCCCGCACACGGUUUAGACCCGAGUGCGGAGCGCCGCGUGCGGGUUCGGGGACCCGAGUGCGGGACGCUGUUUGCGGAUUCGGGGACCCGAGCGCAGGACGCCGCCUGCGGAUUCGGGGACCCGAGUGCGGGACGCCGCGUGCGGAUUCGGAUUCGGGGACCCGAGCGCAGGACGCCGCGUGCGGAUUCGGGGACCCGAGUGCGGGACGCCGCGUGCGGAUUCGGAUUCGGGGACCCGAGCGCGGGACGCCGCGUGCGGAUUCGGGCACCCGAGCGCGGGACGCUGUUUGCAGAUUCGGGGACCCGAGUGCGGGACGCCGCGUGCGGAUUCGGGCACCCGAGCGCGGGACGGCGCCUGCGGAUUCGGGGACCCGAGUGCGGGACGCCGCGUGCGGAUUCGGAUUCGGGGACCCGAGCGCGGGACGCCGCCUGCGGAUUCGGGGACCCGAGCGCAGGACGCCGCCUGCGGAUUCGGGGACCCGAGUGCGGGACGCCGCGUGCGGAUUCGGAUUCGGGGACCCGAGCGCGGGACGCUGCUUGCGGAUUCGGGGACCCGAGUGCGGGACGCCGCGUGCGGAUUCCUGGACCCCAGUGCGGACCGCUGCGUGCAGCCGCGGGGACCCGGUCUCCGCAGAACCUGCAGGGGGCAGAGGAGGGCGGGGCAGGCACGGGCCCCACGGGAGCAGCCCGGGGCUUCCAGCCAGGCCUCGGUUUUGAGAGCAACGGGCUCGGGAGGGCGGUUGAACAUGAAGUCUUUGCGGCGGUGGAUUAUCGGUGGGGGAGGCUGGCGGCGGGAGGCUUUGGAUUUCCAGGCUGCACCCGGGGCACUUUUCUGGAGGGAAAGGCAACUUUCCAGCCCUUUGAAGUGAGGAAGGGAGGUGGAGAAAGAUUUACACGCCAGUGCAGAAGUAUGUAA
RNAcentral lists this long non-coding RNA (1161 nucleotides) under Canis lupus familiaris (dog). RNAcentral describes it as "lncRNA (ENSCAFG00040018945.1)". The record is from RNAcentral. Lineage: Eukaryota; Metazoa; Chordata; Mammalia; Carnivora; Canidae.